This 433-nucleotide ribosomal RNA is filed under the name uncultured bacterium. RNAcentral describes it as "partial 16S ribosomal RNA". It matches the Rfam family "Bacterial small subunit ribosomal RNA", at positions 29 to 507 of the family's 1533-position model. The record is from RNAcentral.
AACGAACGCUGGCGGCAUGCCUAACACAUGCAAGUCGAACGAGACCUUCGGGUCUAGUGGCGCACGGGUGCGUAACGCGUGGGAACCUGCCCUUAGGUUCGGAAUACCUCCCCGAAAGGGGUGCUAAUACCGGAUAAUGUCUUCGGACCAAAGAUUUAUCGCCUUUGGAUGGGCCCGCGUUGGAUUAGCUAGUUGGUAGGGUAAAAGCCUACCAAGGCGACGAUCCAUAGCUGGUCUGAGAGGAUGAUCAGCCACACUGGGACUGCGACACGGCCCAGACUGCUACGGGAGGCAGCAGAGGGGAAUAUUGGACAAUGGGCGAAGGCCUGAUCCAGCAAUGCCGCGUGAGUGAUGAAGGCCUUAGGGUUGUAAAGCUCUUUUACCCGGGAUGAUAAUGACAGUACCGGGAGAAUAAGCUCCGGCUAACUCCGUG